This 199-nucleotide ribosomal RNA is filed under the name uncultured bacterium. Its description in RNAcentral is "partial 16S ribosomal RNA". It matches the Rfam family "Bacterial small subunit ribosomal RNA", at positions 328 to 539 of the family's 1533-position model. The record is from RNAcentral.
ACGCUCGACACCUACUGGAGGCAGCAGUCGGGAAUAUUGCGCAAUGGAGGAAACUCUGACGCAGUGACGCCGCGUAUAGGAAGAAGGUUUUCGGAUUGUAAACUAUUGUCGUUAGGGAAGAAAAAGGACAGUACCUAAGGAGGAAGCUCCGGCUAACUACGUGCAAGCAGCCGCGGUAAUCUGAGCGGGCUGGCAAGGC